UUUCCGUAGGUGAACCUGCGGAAGGAUCAUUAAAAAAUGUGGUACCAUUAUUGGUACUAAUUAAUCAUCCUACCCUUUGUGAAUUUGUUUGUAUGAAUUUUUUUAAAUGGGUCUUUCCCUAAGUUGGAUUGUAGUAAAAUACAAAAAGACUUAGGGGAAUGACUUUUUUAAAAGACUUUUUUUUUAAUUAAAACUUUUUGUAUUCACUUGUCUAAAAUUUAUUUUUAUAAUAUAAAAACAACUUUUGACAAUGGAUCUCUUGGUUCUCGCAACGAUGAAGAACGCAGCAAAAUGCGAUAAGUAGUGUGAAUUGCAGAAUACGUGAAUCAUCGAAUCUUCGAACGCAUAUUGCACUUUUUUAGUUUACUAAAAAAGUAUGUCUGUUUGAGUAUCAGUAAAAUAUUCUCACAAAAACAAUUUGUUUUUUGUGGUUAUGAGUGUUUUACAACGAUAAACAAGUUGUUUCACUUUAAAUUCUUUUUAAUUGAAUUUUACCAAUUCAUAAAUUAAAAUUGGAUAAAAUUUUCCUUUAACGAGGAAUAACCUAAACAAUUUUAAAUUUUAUGGAUUAAUAAACAUUCAUCAAAGGAAUCUAUACAACAAAUAACUUGAUCUCAAACCAGAUAAGAGUACCCGCUGAACUUAAGCAUAUCAAUAAGCGGAGGAAAAGAAACUAACAAGGAUUCCCUUAGUAACGGCGAGUGAAGCGGGAAGAGCUCAAAUUUGAAAUCUUCAAGGUUUGACCUUGACGAAUUGUAGUUUAUAGAAGUGUUUUCUGUUGGAGUUUUGGUAAAAGUUCUUUGGAAUAGGACAUCAUAGAGGGUGAGAAUCCCGUAUUUAACCAUGACUUUCCAGCUGUGUGAUACACUUUCAAAGAGUCGGAUUGUUUGGGAAUGCAGUCCAAAAUGGGUGGUAAAUUUCAUCUAAAGCUAAAUAUUGGCGAGAGACCGAUAGCGAACAAGUACCGUGAGGGAAGAUGAAAAGAACUUUGAAAAGAGAGUUAAACAGUACGUGAAAUUGUCAAAAGGGAAGCGUUUGACACCAGUGUUGUUUUCUCGAAAAUCAAUUUAAUGAGUUCUUGUUUUUAAGUUAUUGUGACUUUAUCAGCGCAUUUCUUAUUUUACUUGACUCAUUGAAUGCACUUUUCGUUUAACAAGUCAACAUCAAUUUCUUUGGUGGUAAAAAGUUUAAAGAAAGGUGGCUUGGACUUCGGUUCAAGUGUUUAUAGCCUUUUUUCUAUGCCAUCGGAGAGAUUGAGGUCUGCAGCGUAGAUCCUUCGGGGUUAGAUACCUUUGUGCUAAGUUAUAGUUCUUUAUAGACGACUUGUUGACUAUAAUUAACCCUGUAAUUUACUCGCUUAGGCUAUUUUACCUACGCUUAGGAUGUUG
Molecule: unclassified non-coding RNA, 1388 nt
Filed under: uncultured Neocallimastigales
Lineage: Eukaryota; Fungi; Neocallimastigomycota; Neocallimastigomycetes; Neocallimastigales
Description: partial contains small subunit ribosomal RNA, internal transcribed spacer 1, 5.8S ribosomal RNA, internal transcribed spacer 2, and large subunit ribosomal RNA
Rfam family: Eukaryotic large subunit ribosomal RNA (bases 610-1388)
Source: RNAcentral